UUAAACUAUUGAGCAAGAACGGCAAGCUCCCUGUCAGAGCGACUAAAUAUGCCGCUGGACUAGACAUUUUUUCUUCUCAGACUAUCACCAUUCCAUCAUGGAGUACUAUUAAAGUUCCUACUGACAUUGCCAUAUCUAUAGAAAAUGGUCACUAUGGACGUAUAGCAUCUCGAUCCCAUAUGGAACUAAAAAAUAUUUCCGUGGUUGGGGGCGUCAUAGACUCAGAUUACCGCGGGCCCAUCAGUGUACUUUGUUUUAAUCAUUGUUCAACAGAUUACACAAUCCAAAAAGGCGAUCGCAUUGCGCAACUUAUAAUCGAAAAAAUUUCCCUAGCUCAACCUGAAAAGGUUGAGGUGCUAGAUGAGACUGAUCGUGGGGAAAAAGGUUUUGGUAGCACAGGAUCUAAUUGAAAAUUUUACAGAAUUCAUUAUCCGACGUACGAUAAUU
Molecule: long non-coding RNA, 447 nt
Organism: Schistocerca gregaria
Lineage: Eukaryota; Metazoa; Arthropoda; Insecta; Orthoptera; Acrididae
Exons: 3
Source: RefSeq, a predicted model, not a curated record